RNAcentral lists this ribosomal RNA (272 nucleotides) under Serratia sp. WAB1937. RNAcentral's name for it is "partial 16S ribosomal RNA". Lineage: Bacteria; Pseudomonadati; Pseudomonadota; Gammaproteobacteria; Enterobacterales; Yersiniaceae. The record is from RNAcentral.
CGGCAUUAGCCGGUGCUUCUUCUGCGAGUAACGUCAAUUGAUGAACGUAUUAAGNUCACCACCUUCCUCCUCGCUGAAAGUGCUUUACAACCCGAAGGCCUUCUUCACACACGCGGCAUGGCUGCAUCAGGCUUGCGCCCAUUGUGCAAUAUUCCCCACUGCUGCCUCCCGUAGGAGUCUGGACCGUGUCUCANUUCCAGUGUGGCUGGUCAUCCUCUCANACCAGCUAGGGAUCGUCGCNUAGGUGAGCCACUACCCCACUUACUAGCUAA